This 184-nucleotide unclassified non-coding RNA is filed under the name soil metagenome. RNAcentral describes it as "partial internal transcribed spacer 1". The record is from RNAcentral.
CAGAGUUGCAAGACUCCCUAAACCAUUGUGAAUCCUACCUUCGUACCGGUUGCCUUCGGGCUGGGUCCGGAAGGCCCAUCGGCCCCCCGGAUCCUCGGUCUCCCGCGGGAGGCGCCCGCCGGAGGGAUACCCAAACUCUUGACUAUUAGUGUCCUCUCUGAGUAAUUCUUUACUGAAUAAGUCA